GCCGGGCAUGGUGGCGCAUGCCUGUAAUCCCAGCUACUUGGGAGGCUGAGGCAGAAGAAUUGCUUGAACCCAGGAGGUAGAGGUUGCAGUGAGCCGAGACUGUGCCACUGCACUUUAGCCUGGGUGAUAGAGCAAGGCUCCAUCUCAA
RNAcentral lists this non-coding RNA (148 nucleotides) under Theropithecus gelada (gelada). Lineage: Eukaryota; Metazoa; Chordata; Mammalia; Primates; Cercopithecidae. The record is from Rfam by way of RNAcentral. RNAcentral also lists the same sequence under 2 other names.